ACCAGACUCCUACGGGAGGCAGCAGUGGGGGAUAUUGGACAAUGGGGGAAACCCUGAUCCAGCGACGCCGCGUGAGUGAAGAAGUAUUUCGGUAUGUAAAGCUCUGUCAGCAGGGAAGAAAGAAAUGACGGUACCUGACCAGGAAGCCCCGGCUAACUACGUGCCAGCAGCCGCGGUAAUACGUAGGGGGCAAGCGUUAUCCGGAAUUACUGGGUGUAAAGGGAGCGUAGACGGUGAUGCAAGUCUGGAGUGAAAGGCGGGGGCCCAACCCCCGGACUGCUCUGGAAACUGUGUAACUUGGGUGCAGGAGAGGUAAGCGGAAUUCCUAGUGUAGCGGUGAAAUGCGUAGAUAUUAGGAAGAACACCAGUGGCGAAGGCGGCUUGCUGGACAGUAACUGACGUUGAGGCUCGAAAGCGUGGGGAGCAAACAGGAUUAGAUACCCCAGUA
This 448-nucleotide ribosomal RNA is filed under the name uncultured bacterium. Its description in RNAcentral is "bacterial SSU rRNA". It matches the Rfam family "Bacterial small subunit ribosomal RNA", at positions 330 to 792 of the family's 1533-position model. The record is from RNAcentral.